AAUCCAUGAUGAAGACACCUUCUUAGAAGAUCCUUAAAUCUCUCUCAUGCAUCGUACAAUGUCUCAAGUUCAAAUUGAGUAAAAGAAGAGAUGUCGUUCCUUAUCCU
Molecule: small nucleolar RNA, 107 nt
Organism: Gossypium raimondii (Peruvian cotton)
Lineage: Eukaryota; Viridiplantae; Streptophyta; Magnoliopsida; Malvales; Malvaceae
Rfam family: Plant small nucleolar RNA R71
About the family: R71 is a member of the C/D box family of snoRNAs containing the C (UGAUGA) and D (CUGA) box motifs. Multiple nearly identical copies of this snoRNA have been identified in Arabidopsis, and it is thought to function as a 2'-O-ribose methylation guide for 18S ribosomal RNA.
Source: Rfam